Molecule: non-coding RNA, 82 nt
Organism: Ciona savignyi (Pacific transparent sea squirt)
Lineage: Eukaryota; Metazoa; Chordata; Ascidiacea; Phlebobranchia; Cionidae
Source: Rfam
GGUAGCAUGGCCGAGCGGUCUAAGGCGCUGGUUUAAGGCACUAGUCAUUUCGAUGGCGUGGGUUCGAAUCCCACUGCUGCCA